UUGACGGUACCCUACUAGAAAGGAGCCGCUAACUUCGUGCCAGAAGCGUCGGUAAUACGGGGGCUCCAAGCGUUAUCCGGUGUUAUUGGGCGUAAAGAGUCGUGUAGGUGGUUGGGUAAGUUAUCUUUCAAAUAUCUUUGCUUAACAAAGAGGAGGGGGAUAAUACUGCUCGACUAGAAUUUUCUCAAGGGAGAUCGGAACUGAGGGAGGAGUAGUGAAAUGCGUUGAUACCCUCGGGAACACCAGUGGCGUAGGCGGAUCUCUGGGAGAAGAUUGACACUGAGACACGAAGGCUAGGGGAGCGAAGCAGAUUAGAGACCUGCGUAGUCCUAGCCGUAAACGCAUGCUUGCUAGCUGCAUGAAUCUACCUUCGGGUGGUAUCGUGUGGCGAAGGUAACCCGUUAAGCAAGCCGCCUGGAAAGUACGGCCGCAAGGCUGAAAUUCAAAGGAAUUGGCGGGGAGGCACACAACCAGUGGAACAUGUGGUUUAAUUCGAGACUAACCGAAGAACCUCACCAGGGUUUGACAUGUAGCUGCACGUCUUAAGAAAUUAAGACUCUCUUGAAGGUGCUACACAGGUGCUGCAUGGCUGUCGUCAGCUCGUUCCGUGAGGAGUGCCCUUAAGUGGGACAACGAGCGCAACCCCUAUUACAUGUUAGAAAUGUCAUGUAAGACUGCCUUGCCAUUUGGCGGGGAGGAAGGAGGGGCAGACGUCAAGUCCGCAUGGUCCUUAUGCCCUGGGCUACACACAUGUUACAAUGAGUACGGCAAUGAGUCUGUCGCGAGCACGUAAGUGUAAGCUAAUCUCUUAAAUGUACUCUCAGUGGGGAUUGAGGUCUGCAACUCGACCUCAUGAACACGGAAUUGGUAGUAAUCGCGGGUCAGCUAUACCGCGGUGAUACGUUCUUGCCUCUUGCACACACCGCCCGUCAAACCAGCAAAGU
Molecule: ribosomal RNA, 944 nt
Filed under: uncultured organism
Description: bacterial SSU rRNA
Rfam family: Bacterial small subunit ribosomal RNA
Source: RNAcentral